UGAGGAAUAUUGGUCAAUGGACGAGAGUCUGAACCAGCCAAGUAGCGUGAAGGAUGACUGCCCUAUGGGUUGUAAACUUCUUUUAUAUGGGAAUAAAGUAUUCCACGUGUGGGAUUUUGUAUGUACCAUAUGAAUAAGGAUCGGCUAACUCCGUGCCAGCAGCCGCGGUAAUACGGAGGAUCCGAGCGUUAUCCGGAUUUAUUGGGUUUAAAGGGAGCGUAGGCGGAUUGUUAAGUCAGUUGUGAAAGUUUGCGGCUCAACCGUAAAAUUGCAGUUGAUACUGGCAGUCUUGAGUGCAGUAGAGGUGGGCGGAAUUCGUGGUGUAGCGGUGAAAUGCUUAGAUAUCACGAAGAACUCCGAUUGCGAAGGCAGCUCACUGGAGUGUAACUGACGCUGAUGCUCGAAAGUGUGGGUAUCAAACAGGAUUAGAUACCCUGGUAGUCCACACAGUAAACGAUGAAUACUCGCUGUUUGCGAUAUACAGUAAGCGGCCAAGCGAAAGCAUUAAGUAUUCCACCUGGGGAGUACGCCGGCAACGGUGAAACUCAAAGGAAUUGACGGGGGCCCGCACAAGCGGAGGAACAUGUGGUUUAAUUCGAUGAUACGCGAGGAACCUUACCCGGGCUUAAAUUGCAAAUGAAUUAUGGGGAAACCCAUACGCCGCAAGGCAUUUGUGAAGGUGCUGCAUGGUUGUCGUCAGCUCGUGCCGUGAGGUGUCGGCUUAAGUGCCAUAACGAGCGCAACCCUUAUCUUCAGUUACUAACAGGUCAUGCUGAGGACUCUGGAGAGACUGCCGUCGUAAGAUGUGAGGAAGGUGGGGAUGACGUCAAAUCAGCACGGCCCUUACGUCCGGGGCUACACACGUGUUACAAUGGGGGGUACAGAAGGCCGCUACCUGGUGACAGGAUGCCAAUCCCAAAAACCUCUCUCAGUUCGGAUCGAAGUCUGCAACCCGACUUCGUGAAGCUGGAUUCGCUAGUAAUCGCGCAUCAGCCAUGGCGCGGUGAAUACGUUCCC
RNAcentral lists this ribosomal RNA (1017 nucleotides) under uncultured bacterium. RNAcentral's name for it is "bacterial SSU rRNA". It matches the Rfam family "Bacterial small subunit ribosomal RNA", at positions 355 to 1375 of the family's 1533-position model. The record is from RNAcentral.